This 430-nucleotide ribosomal RNA is filed under the name Pseudomonadota bacterium. RNAcentral describes it as "Proteobacteria bacterium partial 16S ribosomal RNA". It matches the Rfam family "Bacterial small subunit ribosomal RNA", at positions 355 to 776 of the family's 1533-position model. Lineage: Bacteria; Pseudomonadati; Pseudomonadota. The record is from RNAcentral.
UGGGGAAUAUUGGACAAUGGGGGGAACCCUGAUCCAGCCAUGCCGCGUGUGUGAAGAAGGCCUUAUGGUUGUAAAGCACUUUAAGCGAGGAGGAGGGUACUGGUAUUAAUACUACCAGCUACUGGACGUUACUCGCAGAAUAAGCACCGGCUAACUCUGUGCCAGCAGCCGCGGUAAUACAGAGGGUGCGAGCGUUAAUCGGAUUUACUGGGCGUAAAGCGUGCGUAGGCGGCUAAUUGAGUCGGAUGUGAAAUCCCCGAGCUUAACUUGGGAAUUGCAUUCGAUACUGGUUAGCUAGAGUGUGGGAGAGGAUGGUAGAAUUCCAGGUGUAGCGGUGAAAUGCGUAGAUAUAGGAAGGAACACCAGUGGCGAAGGCGACCACCUGGGCUCAUACUGACACUGAGGUGCGAAAGCGUGGGGAGCAAACAGG